Long non-coding RNA from Xenopus laevis (African clawed frog), 597 nucleotides. RefSeq lists it as uncharacterized. Lineage: Eukaryota; Metazoa; Chordata; Amphibia; Anura; Pipidae. The transcript is spliced from 3 exons. The record is from RefSeq and is a predicted model, not a curated record.
ACUGAAAAAAACAAGUGCUGUGUUCUUAUUUGAGCUGCGGUUACAAGUGACAAAGGAAGUGUUUCGUUUCUCUUAUAUCACAGUUUCCAUGAGCCCUGCACACCAAAGUUGAAACUGUAUGAGUGGAACAAAGACCAGCUCUAUGAAAAAAAUGGCAGAGGAAAGCGACAGACAGCAGUACAUAAUUGUGGUUUCUCUGCUCUGUACCUGCAUUCUCAUAUUCCAACUGGCCUGUGGGGACACAUAAUCCCAGCAAACCUGAUUAAAAUGGGAUUUCCAGUAUCUGACGUCAAAGGGAAUCCUAGCCCAUCUAUCACUGCUGCGGCUUCAGUUCUGGUGGCGUUUGGAAUAACAGGCCGUGUGUGUAUGAAUCCGUCAGUUACAAGAGGCAGAUCUGAAAAUACCCCAAACUGUAGAGCUGAUCCAUAAAGGAAGCCAAAGCAUUGGAUGGAGGAUACCAAGCUAUUUAUGGAAGUCCACCCUGAAGGCCUGUUUCAGGUCUCUGAGGAAGUGUUGUAUCACGAAACGCGUCAGACCUCAGGUGCUAAGUUUGUUUGAUUGAUACUAUGUCUUAAUAAAGAAUUUACCUUUUAACUA